This 265-nucleotide ribosomal RNA is filed under the name uncultured bacterium. RNAcentral describes it as "partial small subunit ribosomal RNA". It matches the Rfam family "Bacterial small subunit ribosomal RNA", at positions 26 to 284 of the family's 1533-position model. The record is from RNAcentral.
AGGACGAACGCUGGCGGCGUGCCUAACACAUGCAAGUCGAACGCUCUCCAUUCAGUAGCAAUACUGAUGAAGAGAGAGUGGCGAACGGGUGAGUAGCACGUGAGCAACCUGCCCCGAAGACUGGGACAACACCGGGAAACCGGUGCUAAUACCGGAUAUCCCUAUCGGACCGCAUGAUCUGAUAAGGAAAUGGAUUCCGCUUCGGGAGGGCUCGCGGCCUAUCAGCUAGUUGGUGAGGUAAUAGCUCACCAAGGCAGUCGACGGU